GUAAAAGAACCAUAUCCUGUGUUUGAAUCAAACCCCGAGUUCCUGUAUGUUUAGAAGGUUUGCCAGACAGGAUUCCCUUUUGAAGCCCUCCUGGUUUGGAAUUCCAUGACUUAAAAGGAUCGUCCGUGGGAGUAAUAACAUCAAGUCUGUUGGUAAAAACUUCGCAGUUUCUAAAAAGACCACGAAGCCCUGAGAGUAAUGAAAAGGUUCCUGAAAUUGAGGUCACUGUGGAAGAAGGAAACGUGUCAUGUACCAGCUAUCCAUCCAAUGACUGCCCAUCAGUUCCAUAUUCACCCUUCACUGCCUGAUCUGCA
This 314-nucleotide long non-coding RNA is filed under the name Homo sapiens (human). RNAcentral's name for it is "non-protein coding LINC00174:23". Lineage: Eukaryota; Metazoa; Chordata; Mammalia; Primates; Hominidae. The record is from RNAcentral.